This is a long non-coding RNA of Columba livia (rock pigeon), 4333 nucleotides long. RefSeq lists it as uncharacterized. The record is from RefSeq and is a predicted model, not a curated record. Lineage: Eukaryota; Metazoa; Chordata; Aves; Columbiformes; Columbidae. The transcript is spliced from 6 exons.
UAUUGCAAGGUGAAAGAUGGUUCAGGACCUUCCAACAACCAUUUCCUUUUUGGAGGCAGCUUCCAUUUUAUUUUGUUCAUGUUUGUACCUAGAGCUGGACUUUAAGAGGCUGCAGGCCUGACAGGUGAAUAACAGAAAUGUGUCUGAUUCUUGGAAUCUAAUAUGUGCAACCAUGUGGUGGUGUGUUGUUUUUGUUGGUUUGUUUGGAAACCGAAGUUUAAAAAAUCCAGAUACCAAAAGUUGUCCCUGCCUGUUUAAUUUCUGGUUCAUUCUUUUAUUUGGACUACAUAGGAAGACCAGCUGGGUCUGACUGUAGGAUCCUAGAAGGAAGUGGCACUAAGUUGCAGAGGUCAGCAGAGGAGCUGUUUCUGAGAAAGAGCAUAGUGAUUGUGACAAGCAGGCACCUAAAUCAAAUAAGAUCACAGACAAUGAGUAAAAGCAAAUUAAAUUCUGUUCAGUGCAAGACUGAAACAGAAAAAUCAGCAUGAGAUUUUUUUAAUCCCUCACUGCUGUCAAGAUUCAAGAUUGAAGAGGACAUUUUAUCUAUAAAUACAUGGUUUAUUUGUGUAAUAAUGGAACAUAUAUGGAAGAACUACUGGCACACAAAUACUACAUAGAAAUGUAGUAUUUAACAGGUAUCUCCAAGGCCCUGUGUCUGUCAGAAAGCUUGAAGAGAGAAUAUUUCUUCCUCUGUGAUGUGGAAACAUUUGUGGAGGUGUUCUGGGAAUUUGUGGUGUGAUGUCAACUUUUUCCCUUGUCGAACAAUGUAGUUUGAUGGCUGCAGACCUUGAGCAGCAGUACGAGGUUUUUUCGGAUUCCCACAUUGGAUGUACUAACCAAACUGUGCUGUUGUAAGAAUCAUCUAUCAAGAAAAGCUGUUUAAGCCUUCUCCUUUCCCUCCACCUUAAAACUUUCUCAUAAAAGCAUUUUCCUCACAGUGGAAGGAAACAAACACCAUGGUGAAGUAGUCUGGAAGAAAAUACACAGCUUUAGCUACACAGCUGACAUGAUCAUUUAGCUUGUGUGAUCUUCUAGCUUGUGUUAAAGACACCCUUAAAAUUGCAGAGAUUGAAAUUUGGAGGAAGAAAAUCAGUCACAUCUCUGGUUAUAUAUUUGUGUUUUAAGGUAGUUCAUGAAGGUCGGAAGCGAAUGUAGCAGCACCCACUUGAGGAGCCAGAGUGUUUCACAAGGAAACUGUGCUGCUUUCUCAGCUCACUCUGGUAAUUCCACAGCACUUAGCUUGUAAAACCACUCCUUCAGUCUGGGAAGACUUGCUUCUCUCCUGACCAUUCUCUUGUGGUUAUGGUUAUCUGCCAGCUCGUACCCUGGUGAGAAUCUGCUUGCAACUGUCUGUGCUUAGCUAUGCAGACACCCCAAAGGCAGAUGGGUGUUGCUAGCAGAGUGCAAGGCACAGCGGCCUCAGGAUAGCUCGCUCUCCCACUUCAGAGGUAGCUGUACAUUCCUAUGAGUUGCUUUCCUUGCUGUUCCCUCUCCUUUGCCCACUUCAGACAUCCUUUGAGUGUGCUGCACCUUCAGUUUAUCUACUGGUGUUCGCAGACAGAUGAGUCUGAGAGUGAAAUGUUUAAAAAGAACUGGUACUUGACUUGUGACAAGAGGCAGGUUGCAGGAAAUGCCCAUUUUCUUUAGCACUGUCUCUGUUUUCUUCAUCUCUGCUUUCACUGUCUCUGUCUUCUUUAUCUUCUUUCACCGUGUCUGCCUUCUGUAUCUCUCCUUUAUUCAUAAUGUAUGAUAAGGCAGCAGAGAGCUCUAGAUUGACUUGAUUUGGUGUGAUAGGAUGUUUCACAUGAAACCAAGCUCUGUCACAAAUGGCUAUGGAAGUGAAGCUGACAGCUUACAGUUCACGAACCUUUCCCUUUGGUCUUUAAUAUAUAGCCCUGCAUCAUCAGCCUCUUAAUUUUUAAUGGUUAUUCAAGUGCUAGAAUUUUGUCAAAAACAACUUGACUUUCGGUUUUGUACAAGGGAGCUAAAAUCAUUGCUGUAAUAUGGGAUUCAGGUAAAUUAGUUUCUACAUAUAAAGAAAUUGAAAUGAAAUUUGACAAAAGGCACAAAUAUGAUAAUGUGGUUUUGUUCGUUUUGUGUUUGUGUUCAUUUGUCUUAUCCACAUCUCUUGCCCUUCUCAUGAGGCUGGGUGCAGCUCCAACUGUUUCUGGUAUGUUUUCUACAGCAUCUCAAUCCUCAGUCUAGCCAGGAAAUGCUCUCCCCAGGCCUAAAAUGUCUUCACAUUACUAUUUUACAGUUGUAUUUUUUAUCUCAGUCACUCAGCCACUGUGGGAGAUGUAACUUACCCUUCAGAGAAGACCUCUGAGCCUUACAGGCUAAUGAGAGCAGCUGACACGCAUUCAUGCUUCAGCCUGCAGUGUUGAGUUCAGCAGUUGUACGUUUUUAAAGUACUGUGACAUAGAGGUCAGGGGAUGAUAUCCAGGGCAGCACAGAAUUAUGGAAGAGGAUUAGGAUCAGCUAGAUUUUAAAACCGCUGAUCACAUUUGGGGUACUAAAUGUAAUUUGUGUAGCUCUGAUAAAAUUCAAACAAAACAAAACAAAAAAAAUAUGACCCUACUUCAUCUGAGAUAAAACAUCUAAUUUAAAAAUAUUUAAAAUCUGAAAUAGAUUGCAUUGCGAUGUUUCAGUCCUCUUGUCAGAUAUGUGAUGCCAUGUUGUCCUUUUGCAUAUUAAAUAAGGCCUGCCAGGACUUUGUGCACUUGCCCAGCUCACCCUGUGCUGUUGGAAGCUGCUCUGCCCCUGAGCACAGAGGUCUGGCAGGGUGGCUGCCUUGUGACAGGGAUUUUAGCCUGGCUAAUGACAGUCCAGAGGGGCAUUUGCAGAGUGACAGAGAUGACAGAACACUGUUUCUUGCUCUUUUCCUUUUAUAUGAAUUUUCCAGUUAUUUUACUGAGGACUGUCAUAAGUGUGUGUCCAUAUUGUGUGCAGAUAAUUGUACAUUACAUUGGAUUCAGACCCCUAACCCUGGCAGUCUGAGCAGCCUGCUGGGAGCUCUAUGGGAGGGAGAGGAAGUCAAAGCCCAGCUUCUCAAGUUUGGCAUAUGAAGUAAAUGGCCUCUGCUGCAGGACAACUCACCAAGCUCAAGUAAGAGCUGGGUUACAAGUGCACUUGAUCACAUCUGUGUCUUAACAAUUAUUCCACCUGGGUUUCAUGCUUUAUAACCUUGGGGUAGUUUGAUGCAAAUGGAAUUGCACUUUUUGCAUGGUAGAAAAUUGUCAUUUGAUAUUGAAAUACAUUUUUAAAUAAAUGUGGUUAUGUUAUACAUAAUUUUAAUGCACUUUUCUCAUUUAUAUUUUUUUUUCUUACUUAUUACUUGCUGUUUAUUUUAUAUCAAUUUUAGACUAUGUAAAUUAUGUUAGACAAAAAGCAAAUUCAAAGGAUUUUCUUAUUUGAGUUCAAAAUUUCACCUCUUGCUAACUGACUACCACUUUUUCAAGUACCUCAAUAACUUUUUGCAGGGAAAACACAACCAGGAGGAUGCAGAAAAUGCUUUCCAAGAGUUCACUGAAUAUCAAAGCACAGAUUUUUACACUACAGGAAUAGACAAACUUAUUUAUCUUUUGUGAAUAUGUGUUGAUUGUAAUAGUUCCUAUUUUGCUUAAUAAAGAUGUCUUUGAGCCUACUUAUGAUGAUUUAAAAUUCAUGGUCCAAAACCACAAUUACUUUUGCAUCAACCUAAUACCUGGAUGGGUGCUGACUAUUGGCUGAGCCAAAGCCUUCUGCCUGAGCUGAUAAGCCCAUCUGAGAGGCAAUUUGUAAUUGCUCAGGCUCAGUGCCCUGCCAGGACAGGUACACAGGACACAGACUUGUGAAAAUAUCUUCAGUUAUGUGAGAAUUGCUUAGUCCUGCCCCGUCUCUUUCUUAGAGUUGGACCAAUCAGGUGGCUGAUGAUAAAACUUGAUUUGAUUUAAAAACUGUACACAGCCUUUGAAGAAUUCCGCCUUGCUGACGUGAGUCAGAUGUAGGGACAAGGGGGCUCUCAGUCAUAUUCCACAAAUCUGUACCACAAAGCGGCUGCCUGCACAUUCCAUCUAAUUAACAAAGGUCUGUGUAAAACAAAGCGGGGACAACAGGUGGCUGUUGAAAACCAUGUCUCUCAUUAUUUCUGUUUUUAAAGGGAACGGUAAAACCUACUUAUUGGGCUACAUGUUCUUUCUGUUCAUAGAAUACUUAUCACACAUCUUAGAAAGGUGUGGGGUGCCAACAAACUGGUGAUAAGUGAUGUGAACUAAAACUAGUACAGGCUCAAGUUUUCCUGUGGAGUGAACACUUUGCCUUGAGAACUUGUGCCCACCAUCCCAUGCCCCGUCAU